UACGUAGGAUCCAAGCGUUGUCCGGAUUUACUGGGCGUAAAGGGUGCGCAGGCGGACUUGUUAGUCAGAGGUGAAAUCUCACGGCUCAACCGUGAAACUGCCUUUGAUACUGCAGGUCUUGAAUUGGGGAGAGAGUUGUGGAAUUCCGAGUGUAGCAGUGAAAUGUGUAGAUAUUCGGAAGAACACCAGUGGCGAAGGCAGCAACUUGGCCCCACAUUGACACUCAGGCACGAAAGCAUGGGGAUCAAACAGG
Molecule: ribosomal RNA, 253 nt
Filed under: uncultured bacterium
Lineage: Bacteria
Description: partial 16S ribosomal RNA
Rfam family: Bacterial small subunit ribosomal RNA
Source: RNAcentral